GAGUUUGAUCCUGGCUCAAGACGAACGCUGGCGGCGUGCUUAACACAUGCAAGUCGAACGGAGUACCCCCGAAAGAGAUUUCGGACAAUGGAUAGGACUAGCUUAUGGCGGACUGGUGAGUAACGCGUGAGGAACCUGCCUUUCAGAGGGGGACAACAGUUGGAAACGACUGCUAAUACCGCAUGACGCACCGGUAUCGCAUGGCUCUGAUGCCAAAGAUUUAUCGCUGAAAGAUGGCCUCGCGUCUGAUUAGCUAGUUGGUGAGGUAACGGCCUACCAAGGCGACGAUCAGUAGCCGGACUGAGAGGUUGGCCGGCCACAUUGGGACUGAGAUACGGCCCAGACUCCUACGGGAGGCAGCAGUGGGGAAUAUUGGGCAAUGGGCGCAAGCCUGACCCAGCAACGCCGCGUGAAGGAAGAAGGCUUUCGGGUUGUAAACUUCUUUUGACGGGGAAGAGCAGAAGACGGUACCUGUCGAAUAAGCCACGGCUAACUACGUGCCAGCAGCCGCGGUAAUACGUAGGUGGCAAGCGUUGUCCGGAUUUACCGGGUGUAAAGGGCGUGCAGCCGGACUGACAAGUCAGAUGUGAAAUCCGGG
RNAcentral lists this ribosomal RNA (598 nucleotides) under uncultured bacterium. Its description in RNAcentral is "bacterial SSU rRNA". It matches the Rfam family "Bacterial small subunit ribosomal RNA", at positions 9 to 605 of the family's 1533-position model. The record is from RNAcentral.